ACGCUCGACACCUACGGGAGGCAGCAGUGGGGAAUAUUGCACAAUGGGGGAAACCCUGAUGCAGCGAUGCCGCGUGAAGGAAGAAGUAUCUCGGUAUGUAAACUUCUAUCAGCAGGGAAGAAAAUGACGGUACCUGACUAAGAAGCCCCGGCUAACUACGUGCCACAGCCGCGGUAAUNUGAGCGGGCUGGCAAGGC
This 197-nucleotide ribosomal RNA is filed under the name uncultured bacterium. Its description in RNAcentral is "partial 16S ribosomal RNA". It matches the Rfam family "Bacterial small subunit ribosomal RNA", at positions 328 to 539 of the family's 1533-position model. The record is from RNAcentral.